CGAAUUAAACUUGAAGCAGGUUGUUGCUGGCUCUCCUUCGAGCGCAUGUGCACGCUUGUUUCUCUUUAUUUCUCCAACUGUGCACAAUUUGUAGACUGUUUUGAGGAUUUAUUUCCCUUGGUCUAUGCUUUCACAAUCUCUGAAUGUAAUGUAGAAUGCUUUUGAAUCUGGGGAAUAAUACAUACAACUUUCAGCAACGGAUCUCUUGGCUCUCGCAUCGAUGAAGAACGCAGCGAAAUGCGAUAAGUAAUGUGAAUUGCAGAAUUCAGUGAAUCAUCGAAUCUUUGAACGCAUCUUGCGCUCCUUGGUAUUCCGAGGAGCAUGCCUGUUUGAGUGUCAUUUAAAACUUCUCAACUGCUCCAGAUUUAUUUUUUGGAUGUGGCUUGGAAAUGGAGGGAGUGCAGGCUUUCAUGAAGAGUCUGCUCCUCUGAAACAUAUUAGCGGUGUCUGGGCAAAGACUACCACAGGUGUGAUAACUAUCAAUGCCUUGGUGUUAUGCUGCUGCUGCUUCCAACUGUGUGCAAUGACCAACUUGACCUCAAAUCAGGUAGGAUUACCCGCUGAACUUAAGCAUAUC
RNAcentral lists this ribosomal RNA (577 nucleotides) under uncultured Inocybe. Its description in RNAcentral is "eukaryotic LSU rRNA". The stretch from base 186 to 339 matches the Rfam family "5.8S ribosomal RNA". Lineage: Eukaryota; Fungi; Basidiomycota; Agaricomycetes; Agaricales; Cortinariaceae. The record is from RNAcentral.